RNAcentral lists this ribosomal RNA (253 nucleotides) under uncultured bacterium. RNAcentral describes it as "partial 16S ribosomal RNA". It matches the Rfam family "Bacterial small subunit ribosomal RNA", at positions 524 to 776 of the family's 1533-position model. The record is from RNAcentral.
UACGGGGGGAGCAAGCGUUGUUCGGAAUUACUGGGCGUAAAGGGCGUGUAGGCGGCCAUGUAAGUCGGGGGUGAAAUCCACUGGCUCAACCAGUGACGUGCCUUCGAAACUGCGUGGCUUGAGUAUGGCAGAGGGAAGCGGAAUUCCAGGUGUAGCGGUGAAAUGCGUAGAUAUCUGGAAGAACACCGGUGGCGUAUGCGGCUUCCUGGGCCAAUACUGACGCUGAUACGCGAAAGCCAGGGGAGCAUACGGG